This 21-nucleotide non-coding RNA is filed under the name Arabidopsis thaliana (thale cress). Lineage: Eukaryota; Viridiplantae; Streptophyta; Magnoliopsida; Brassicales; Brassicaceae. The record is from RNAcentral.
UGGGAGAAGUCCUCCUUGGUC